This 253-nucleotide ribosomal RNA is filed under the name uncultured bacterium. RNAcentral's name for it is "partial 16S ribosomal RNA". It matches the Rfam family "Bacterial small subunit ribosomal RNA", at positions 524 to 776 of the family's 1533-position model. The record is from RNAcentral.
UACGUAGGGGGCAAGCGUUGUCCGGAAUUAUUGGGCGUAAAGAGCGUGUAGGCGGUCCGGUAAGUCAGCUGUGAAAGUCAAGGGCUCAACCCUUGAAUGCCGGUUGAUACUGUCGGGCUAGAGUCCGGAAGAGGCGAGUGGAAUUCCCGGUGUAGCGGUGAAAUGCGCAGAUAUCGGGAGGAACACCGGUGGCGAAGGCGGCACCCUGGACCAACACUGACACUGAUGAGCGAAAGCCAGGGGAGCAAACGGG